This is a long non-coding RNA of Balaenoptera ricei (Rice's whale), 1757 nucleotides long. RefSeq lists it as uncharacterized. The transcript is spliced from 3 exons. NCBI's taxonomy places the organism in Eukaryota, Metazoa, Chordata, Mammalia, Artiodactyla, Balaenopteridae. The record is from RefSeq and is a predicted model, not a curated record.
UGGCAUAUUUCCAAACUGGCCGGCAGAGCCAGGAGGAAAUGAAGGCAUUAAAAACUAACUUUGGUUGGUUGCCACCUUCUUAGUGCUGAGACUAUAACCUUUGUUGGUUGAUUGAUAGAGAACAAGAGAGCACAAUCCUCGUUCCACUAACAGCUCUCUAUUUCAGUGCUUCUCUCCUACCAGAGGUGCAAGGAGUGAUCCUAGAACCACAGAUACAGCCAAGACCACGGAGAGCUUUUGACGUCAGGGGUCCACUUUCUCCACUGAACCCUUGGAGGCAGAAUAUCCAGCUUCUGGAGAGAGUUGGGAAAGGAUAAUAAACAAAUUUCUUUCAACUGGUAAACAUCAUACUUCAGCAAAAGGAACUCUUCUAGCAGAGCCUUCAUGGAUGAUAUCUGUCACACAUGCAGCAGCUGCAGUUUGGAAGGCAGUGGUGAACGGAGCCAUGCAUUAUAUCUAGAAGACACAAGGAUGAGAGAGCCACCUGAUCUUGUCAUUGAUAAACUUUAAGAUUUACUCUGGUGUACUCUUGGUCUGGAAACGGAAAGGCUCAAAUAAUGACGUAAUUUUUUCAGAUUGGAAUUUUACAUGGCCAUGAAAAUAUUCCUUUUUAUUCAGAAGACUGAAAUAGAGGAAGCAUGAGAGACACCUUUCUUUAAAAAGCAGCUCUCUGUAUCUGUUUCACUUAAAAGAUUUGUGGGAUUGAAAAUCACCUUAAUGAAGCAGGCAAACUUUUUUUUAGUAGUCUGGGAGAUCCAAAAAACAUAAUGAAACUGUCUUUUGUUGCCUGACACUGAAAGGAACUAGGAAAUAUAAAGGGUGAACUUCUUAAUUAUUCCCAAAUUACUUUUAAUAUUAGGAUGCACUUUUUUAACUUUUUCUAGUCUUGAGCCUUAUUCUUAUUUGUCAAGUCAACAAAGAUUCCAGUAUAGGAGUAGAGACGUCUUUGAGUUCAGUCUUCUAAAGUAGUAAAUACCUGUUAAACUUGAGGUAUCGUUCUGCAUUGCAGGCAUUCUAAAGUUGAAUGAUACUGAAAAAAAGAGAUAUUUUAUAGAGCAAAAGCAAUUAGUAGUAGUAGGAUAAGCCUCUGUGUGUGAAUAAGUGUUGCAAGAUAGUUAUCCAUACUGUCGAUAAAUUGAUGGCAGUAGUGAUCAAAAUGUUUUAUUUCUCUUUUUGGUAUCUAUUUAACUGGUCAGUCAAAAGCUGUUAAAGAAGUUUUUAAAAGUUAUGCAAUGCUGCCAGUUUGUUUUAUUUGGUAUAAAUUUUAAGAAUAGAAAUUCUAGAGAUAAUAAUAUGGAAGCAUCUAAAUGUCUUAGGAAUCUUAAAGGUUUUGGAAACCACAUUUGCUAGAUUAUAACCUGGCCUUUAGUCUUUCUCGGCUAUUUGUGAGACCUGUUUUCCCCUCAUUUAUUAUAAAUAAACUUUUGUAUGUACAGCACUUAAAAGUAAGUUUAAAAGAUCAAUUUGAGCUAAAAUUUCCCUAGAGAGCUCUGAAUUCCCAUAAACAAUUACAGCUUUUUACUCUUGAUUUGUUUUUGUUAAAAGUUAAUAAGAUAGUUGUUACAAACACAUAUAAAUUAAAAAACAACUACUCACUCAACAUUUUAGAAAGAACUCAGGGAACUGAAAGUGAGAUUUGCUUGGAAAUUUAGUUGAACUCUUUGAACCACAAUACAAACGAGUUUAUGGCCUGUGAGGUUAUUAGCCUUUUGUUUCAGUUUUGAAGAAGUGAUUUAAACUCUUAAUCCCGUUAAUCU